RNAcentral lists this ribosomal RNA (253 nucleotides) under uncultured bacterium. RNAcentral describes it as "partial 16S ribosomal RNA". It matches the Rfam family "Bacterial small subunit ribosomal RNA", at positions 524 to 776 of the family's 1533-position model. The record is from RNAcentral.
UACGAAGGGGGCUAGCGUUGCUCGGAAUCACUGGGCGUAAAGCGCACGUAGGCGGGUCUUUAAGUCCGGGGGGAAAUCCCGGAGCUCAACUCCGGAACUGCCUUUGAUACUGGAGAUCUUGAGUCCGGGAGAGGUGAGUGGAACUCCGAGUGUAGAGGUGAAAUUCGUAGAUAUUCGGAAGAACACCAGUGGCGAAGGCGGCUCACUGGCCCGGUACUGACGCUGAGGUGCGAAAGCGUGGGGAGCAAACAGG